AGUCGUAGUCGAUGGGAAGCAGGUUAAUAUUCCUGCACCUCGCGUAAGUGCGAUGGAGGGACGGAGAAGGUUAGGUGUACCAGGCGUUGGUUGUCCUGGGGAAAGGCGGUAGGUUUGGAUCUUUGGCAAAUCCGGGAUCCUUUAAGACCGAGCACCGAGACGAGCCUUUAAGGCGAAGUCACUGAUACCACGCUUCCAGGAAAAGCUCCUAAGCUUCAGCUUACGCAGACCGUACCGUAAACCGACACAGGUGGGUAGGAUGAGAAUUCUCAGGCGCUUGAGAGAACUCGGGUGAAGGAACUAGGCAACAUGGCACCGUAACUUCGGGAGAAGGUGCACCCUUUUUGGUGGCUCGUGCGAGCUAUGGCUGAAGAGGGUCGCAGUAACCAGGCCGCUGCGACUGUUUAUCAAAAACACAGCACUCUGCAAACACGAAAGUGGACGUAUAGG
Molecule: ribosomal RNA, 450 nt
Filed under: Mesorhizobium sp. M8A.F.Ca.ET.207.01.1.1
Lineage: Bacteria; Pseudomonadati; Pseudomonadota; Alphaproteobacteria; Hyphomicrobiales; Phyllobacteriaceae
Description: partial 23S ribosomal RNA
Rfam family: Bacterial large subunit ribosomal RNA
Source: RNAcentral